RNAcentral lists this ribosomal RNA (727 nucleotides) under Acinetobacter sp. M1_I20. RNAcentral describes it as "bacterial SSU rRNA". It matches the Rfam family "Bacterial small subunit ribosomal RNA", at positions 31 to 753 of the family's 1533-position model. The record is from RNAcentral. Lineage: Bacteria; Pseudomonadati; Pseudomonadota; Gammaproteobacteria; Moraxellales; Moraxellaceae.
GAACGCUGGCGGCAGGCUUAACACAUGCAAGUCGAGCGGAGAUGAGGUGCUUGCACCUUAUCUUAGCGGCGGACGGGUGAGUAAUGCUUAGGAAUCUGCCUAUUAGUGGGGGACAACAUUUCGAAAGGAAUGCUAAUACCGCAUACGCCCUACGGGGGAAAGCAGGGGAUCUUCGGACCUUGCGCUAAUAGAUGAGCCUAAGUCGGAUUAGCUAGUUGGUGGGGUAAAGGCCUACCAAGGCGACGAUCUGUAGCGGGUCUGAGAGGAUGAUCCGCCACACUGGGACUGAGACACGGCCCAGACUCCUACGGGAGGCAGCAGUGGGGAAUAUUGGACAAUGGGGGGAACCCUGAUCCAGCCAUGCCGCGUGUGUGAAGAAGGCCUUUUGGUUGUAAAGCACUUUAAGCGAGGAGGAGGAGCUCUAGAUUAAUACUCUAGAUGCUUGGACGUUACUCGCAGAAUAAGCACCGGCUAACUCUGUGCCAGCAGCCGCGGUAAUACAGAGGGUGCAAGCGUUAAUCGGAUUUACUGGGCGUAAAGCGUGCGUAGGUGGUCUUUUAAGUCGGAUGUGAAAUCCCUGAGCUUAACUUAGGAAUUGCAUUCGAUACUGGGAGACUAGAGUAUGGGAGAGGAUGGUAGAAUUCCAGGUGUAGCGGUGAAAUGCGUAGAGAUCUGGAGGAAUACCGAUGGCGAAGGCAGCCAUCUGGCCUAAUACUGACACUGAGUA